Molecule: long non-coding RNA, 212 nt
Filed under: Pan troglodytes (chimpanzee)
Lineage: Eukaryota; Metazoa; Chordata; Mammalia; Primates; Hominidae
Description: long non-coding RNA NONPTRT013082
Source: RNAcentral
UAAACAACUCUAUGCAAAUAAAGUAGAAAAUCUAGAAGAAAUUGAUAAAUUCCUGGACACAUACACUCUCCCAAGACUAAACCAGGAAGAAAUCGAAUUGCUGAAUAGACCAAUAACAAGUACUGAAAUUGAGGCAGCAAUUAGUAGCAUACCAAUCAAAAAAAGUCCAGGACAAGAUGGAUUCACAGCCGAAUUCUAACAGAGGUACAAAG